This 77-nucleotide transfer RNA is filed under the name Microcoleus sp. T1-bin1. RNAcentral describes it as "tRNA-OTHER". Lineage: Bacteria; Bacillati; Cyanobacteriota; Cyanophyceae; Oscillatoriales; Microcoleaceae. The record is from RNAcentral.
GGAGGCUUCCGUGACGGCGACUUGUCUUGAAAACAAGAGUGCAGUUAACUGUAGCGGUUCAAUUCCUCCAGCUUCCG